This 253-nucleotide ribosomal RNA is filed under the name uncultured bacterium. RNAcentral's name for it is "partial 16S ribosomal RNA". It matches the Rfam family "Bacterial small subunit ribosomal RNA", at positions 524 to 776 of the family's 1533-position model. The record is from RNAcentral.
UACGAAGGGUGCAAACGUUGCUCGGAAUCAUUGGGCGUAAAGCGCACGUAGGCGGCUUCGCAAGUCGGAUGUGAAAUCCCUCGGCUCAACCGAGGACGUGCAUACGAAACUGCGGAGCUUGAGUGCUGAAGAGGAUCGCGGAAUUCCCGGUGUAGAGGUGAAAUUCGUAGAUAUCGGGAGGAACACCAGUGGCGAAGGCGGCGACCUGGGCCAAUAUUGACGCUGAGGUGCGAAAGCGUGGGGAGCAAACAGG